This 400-nucleotide ribosomal RNA is filed under the name uncultured bacterium. RNAcentral describes it as "bacterial SSU rRNA". It matches the Rfam family "Bacterial small subunit ribosomal RNA", at positions 355 to 771 of the family's 1533-position model. The record is from RNAcentral.
UAGGGAAUAUUGGUUAAUGUGCGAAAGCGCGAACCAGCAACGCCGCGUGCACGAUGAAGGCCUUCGGGUUGUAAAGUGCUUUUUGAGGGGAUGAGGAAGGACAGUACCCUCAGAAUAAGUCUCGGCCAACUACGUGCCAGCAGCCGCGGUAACACGUAGGAGACGAGCGUUAUCCGGAUUUACUGGGCGUAAAGCGCGUGCAGGCGGUUCAGCAAGUUGGAUGUGAAAGCUCCCGGCUUAACUGGGAGAGGUCGUUCAAAACUACUGAACUUGAGAGUGGUAGAGGGAGGUGGAAUUCCGGGUGUAGUGGUGAAAUGCGUAGAUAUCCGGAGGAACACCAGUGGCGAAAGCGGCCUCCUGGACCAUUUCUGACGCUCAGACGCGAAAGCUAGGGUAGCGA